UCGGGAAUAUUGCGCAAUGGAGGAAACUCUGACGCAGUGACGCCGCGUGCAGGAAGAAGGUUUUCGGAUUGUAAACUGCUUUAGACAGGGAAGAUAAUGACAGUACCUGUAGAAUAAGCUCCGGCUAACUACGUGCCAGCAGCCGCGGUAAUACGUAGGGAGCAAGCGUUAUCCGGAUUUAUUGGGUGUAAAGGGUGCGUAGACGGGAAGGCAAGUUGGUUGUGAAAUCCCUCGGCUUAACUGAGGAACUGCAACCAAAACUAUCUUUCUUGAGUGCUGGAGAGGAAAGUGGAAUUCCUAGUG
Molecule: ribosomal RNA, 303 nt
Filed under: uncultured bacterium
Lineage: Bacteria
Description: bacterial SSU rRNA
Rfam family: Bacterial small subunit ribosomal RNA
Source: RNAcentral